UGGCAGGUACAGCGGGAAGCCACCUGGCGACAGGCGCGGAACCCGAAAACCUGUCUCAGUUCGGAUUGGAGUCUGCAACCCGACUCCAUGAAGCUGGAUUCGCUAGUAAUCGCGCAUCAGCCACGGCGCGGUGAAUACGUUCCCGGGCCUUGUACACACCGCCCGUCAAGCCAUGGGAGCCGGGGGUGCCUGAAGGCCGUGACCGCGAGGAGCGGCCUAGGGUAAAACUGGUGACUGGGGCUAAGUCGUAACAAGGUACC
Molecule: ribosomal RNA, 260 nt
Filed under: uncultured bacterium
Lineage: Bacteria
Description: partial 16S ribosomal RNA
Rfam family: Bacterial small subunit ribosomal RNA
Source: RNAcentral